Molecule: ribosomal RNA, 839 nt
Filed under: uncultured marine eukaryote
Lineage: Eukaryota
Description: SSU rRNA
Rfam family: Eukaryotic small subunit ribosomal RNA
Source: RNAcentral
GUUAAAAAGCUCGUAGUUGGAUCUCAGGUCCCGGCUCGCGGUUCACCUCGCGGUGCUUUACUGCCCGUCCGGACCUAACCCGCCGGUCUCCUCCCUUGGUGCCCUUCGCUGGGUGUCUCGGGUGGCCGGAAAGCUUACUUUGAAAAAAUUAGAGUGUUCAAAGCAGGCGCUUCCGCCUGGAUAAUGGUGCAUGGAAUAAUGGAAUAGGACCUCGGUUCUAUUGUGUUGGUUUUCGGAGCUCGAGGUAAUGAUUAAGAGGGACAGACGGGGGCAUUCGUAUUACGGUGUUAGAGGUGAAAUUCUUGGAUCGCCGUAAGACGAACUACUGCGAAAGCAUUUGCCAAGAAUGUUUUCAUUAAUCAAGAACGAAAGUCAGAGGUUCGAAGACGAUCAGAUACCGUCCUAGUUCUGACCAUAAACGAUGUCGACUGGAGAUCCGCCGGAGUUGUUUCACUGACCCGGCUGGCAUCCUCCGGGAAACCUUAAGUCUAUGGAUUCCGGGGGAAGUAUGGUUGCAAAGCUGAAACUUAAAGGAAUUGACGGAAGGGCACCACCAGGAGUGGAGCCUGCGGCUUAAUUUGACUCAACACGGGGAACCUCACCAGGCCAGGACACCGUAAGGAUUGACAGAUUGAUAGCUCUUUCUUGAUUCGGUGGGUGGUGGUGCAUGGCCGUUCUUAGUUGGUGGAGCGAUUUGUCUGGUUAAUUCCGAUAACGAACGAGACUCUAGCCUAUUAAAUAGUUCGCCGAUUCUUCUACGUGUCGGUGCCAACUUCUUAGAGGGACAAGUGGCGUUUAGCCACGCGAGAUUGAGCAAUAACAGGUCUGUGAUGCCCUUA